This 1195-nucleotide ribosomal RNA is filed under the name metagenome. Its description in RNAcentral is "SSU rRNA". It matches the Rfam family "Eukaryotic small subunit ribosomal RNA", at positions 460 to 1784 of the family's 1831-position model. The record is from RNAcentral.
GGAGGUAGUGACAAGAAAUAACAACAACGGGCUUUGUCUCGUUGAUUGGAAUGAGCACAAUGUAAAAGUCUUAGCUAGGACCCACUGGAGGGCAAGUCUGGCGCCAGCAGCCGCGGUAAUUCCAGCUCCAGUAGCGUAUAUUAAAGUUGUUGCAAUUAAAAAGCUCGUAGUUGGACCUCCACUCCUCCGGGAGCAGCCUAGCAACUCUGCAUGUCCUUAACCGGAUGGCAGAGACCUGCGGGCCCUUUACCUUGAGAAAACUAGAGUGUUUAAGGCAGGCCACGCCUGAAUACUACAGCUGGGAAUAAUGCAUUACGACUGUCUUGGCGAGGCAGCUCUACACUUUUAAUAGGAACAGUUGGGGGCAUUCGUACUCAGCAGUCAGAGGUGAAAUUCUUGGAUUUGCUGAAGACGGACUAGUGCGAAAGCAUUUGCCAAGGAUGUUUUCAUUAAUCAAGAACGAAAGUUAAGGGAUCAAAGACGAUCAGAUACCGUCCUAGUCUUAACCAUAAACGAUGCCGACUAGGGAUUGGGAGGAGCGUACAAAUCCUCUCAGCACCUUACGAGAAGUCAAAGUCUUUGGGUUCUGGGGGGAGUAUGGUCGCAAGACUGAAACUUAAAGGAAUUGACGGAAGGGCACCACAAGGAGUGGAGCCUGCGGCUUAAUUUGACCCAACACGGGGAAACUUACCAGGUCCAGACAUAGUCAGGAUUGACAGAUUGAGAGCUCUUUCUUGAUCCUAUGGGUGGUGGUGCAUGGCCGUUCCUAGUUGGUGGAGUGAUCUGUCUGGUUAAUUCCGAUAACGAACGAGACCUCAACCUGCUAAAUAGUUCUGCCCUCAGCAGGGUACAACUUCUUAGAGGGACUUCCAAGGUUACUUGGAGGAAGUCUGAGGCAAUAACAGGUCUGUGAUGCCCUUAGAUGUCCUGGGCCGCACGCGCGCUACACUGACGCAGGCAUCCAGUUUCCUUGGCUGACAAGCCUUGGCAACCUCCAAACUGCGUCGUAGUUGGGAUUGACCCUUGCAAUUCUUGGUCAUGAACCAGGAAUUCCUAGUAAGCGCAAGUCAUCAGCUUGCACUGAUUAAGUCCCUGCCCUUUGUACACACCGCCCGUCGCUCCUACCGAUUUCGAGUGAUGAGGUGAAUUUCUCGGACAAUGGAAGUUAAGUGAACCUUAUCACUUAGAGGAAGGA